AACGAACGCUGGCGGCAUGCCUAACACAUGCAAGUCGAACGAGACCUCCGGGACUAGUGGCGCACGGGUGCGUAACGCGUGGGAACCUGCCUUUAGGUUCGGAAUAACUCAGAGAAAUUUGAGCUAAUACCGGAUGAUGUCUUCGGACCAAAGAUUUAUCGCCUUUAGAUGGGCCCGCGUUGGAUUAGCUAGUUGGUGGGGUAAAGGCCUACCAAGGCGACGAUCCAUAGCUGGUCUGAGAGGAUGAUCAGCCACACUGGGACUGAGACACGGCCCAGACUCCUACGGGAGGCAGCAGUGGGGAAUAUUGGACAAUGGGCGAAAUCCUGAUCCAGCAAGGCCGCGUGAGUGAUGAAGGCCUUAGAGUUGUAAAGCUCUUUUACCCGAGAUGAUAAUGACAGUAUCGGGAGAAUAAGCUCCGGCUAACUCCGUG
Molecule: ribosomal RNA, 433 nt
Filed under: uncultured bacterium
Lineage: Bacteria
Description: partial 16S ribosomal RNA
Rfam family: Bacterial small subunit ribosomal RNA
Source: RNAcentral